AAGCCUCAAUCCUACAAAUUUAUAUAUUACACUUUAGAAUAAGAACAACAUUUUACAAAGAUUAUAUCAUGAUCAUGUAUUGUAUUUAUAUUUCACCGGCAAAAGUUUUGGGGCUGCGGGGUUCUCAGUGUUGUGAAUGAAUUGCAAGUAUGAAAAGGUGUUUCAGUUAAGGUCAGAACCCAACGGUGAUGAAGAUGCCCCCUCCAUAUUCCUCCCCAAAGGCAAAGGCGAAACUCCAAUAGUCUGAUAUGAGGAAAAUGAUGACGGAGCUGGGGCAGAAGCAGAAGCUGCAAAGGUUGAGAAAGUACUGCCAUUGCUGCUCAUGUUGAUGCUUGAGCCAAAAGCUGAGCCUUCAGUUAUUGCCUUCGGAGCGGGUGGUUUCUUAAUCUCCGUUAUUCCCUCUAGCAUUUGCACUACUUUUCCCAUCAUUGGCCUUUGAGAUGGUUGCUCUUGGAUACACCAAAAGCUCACCUGAAUUGCCCUUGUUGCUUGCUCCAUAUCCACAUCUUGAUCAUCAAGCUUUUUGUCCACAAUGGCAUUCACAUUACCCUUCUCGAACUCUUCAUAAGCCCACACAGAGAACUUUUUCCGAUUUGUUUCUUCGAAGACCUCAAAAUUCCUUCUUCCACUCACUAGCUCCAAUAAAACCAUACCAUAACUGUAAACAUCAGA
Molecule: unclassified non-coding RNA, 672 nt
Filed under: Hevea brasiliensis (rubber tree)
Lineage: Eukaryota; Viridiplantae; Streptophyta; Magnoliopsida; Malpighiales; Euphorbiaceae
Source: RNAcentral